RNAcentral lists this ribosomal RNA (851 nucleotides) under uncultured bacterium. RNAcentral describes it as "bacterial SSU rRNA". It matches the Rfam family "Bacterial small subunit ribosomal RNA", at positions 36 to 908 of the family's 1533-position model. The record is from RNAcentral.
CGGGCGGGGUGCUUAUACAUGCAAGUCGAACGGAGAGUUAGCAAUAGCUCUGAGUGGCGAACGGGUGAGUAACGCGUUGGUGACCUGUCCCGAAGAUGGGGAUAACAGUUCGAAAGGACUGCUAAUACCGGAUGUGGUUGUGAGAGUUAGAGGUCUUGCAACUGAAGGAGCAAUCCGCUUCGGGAGGGGCCUGCGUCCCAUCAGCUAGUUGGUAGGGUAAAGGCCUACCAAGGCGGAGACGGGUAGGGGACCUGAGAGGGUGAACCCCCACACUGGCACUGAAACACGGGCCAGACACCUACGGGUGGCAGCAGUAGGGAAUAUUGCACAAUGGGCGAAAGCCUGAUGCAGCAACGCCGCGUGCGCGAUGAAGGCCUUCGGGUCGUAAAGCGCUUUUUGGGGAGAUGAGGAAGGACAGUAUCCCCAGAAUAAGGCUCGGCUAACUACGUGCCAGCAGCCGCGGUAAAACGUAGGAGCCAAGCGUUAUCCGAAUUCACUGGGCGUAAAGCGUGUGCAGGCGGAAUGGUAAGUUGGGUGUGAAAUCUCCUGGCUCAACUGGGAGAGGCCGCUCAAUACUGCCGGUCUCGAGGGCAACAGAGGGAGGUGGAAUUCCCGGUGUAGUGGUGAAAUGCGUAGAUAUCGGGAGGAACACCAGUGGCGAAAGCGACCUCCUGGGUUGCACCUGACGCUCAGACACGAAAGCUAGGGGAGCAAACGGGAUUAGAAACCCCGGUAGUCCUAGCCGUAAACGAUGUAGACUGGUGUUGGCGGGGUAAAAGCCGUCAGUGCCGGAGCAAACGCGAUAAGUCUACCGCCUGGGGACUACGGCCGCAAGGUUAAACCUCAAAGGG